Molecule: unclassified non-coding RNA, 1321 nt
Filed under: Bombus terrestris (buff-tailed bumblebee)
Lineage: Eukaryota; Metazoa; Arthropoda; Insecta; Hymenoptera; Apidae
Description: misc RNA ENSBTSG00005022961.1
Source: RNAcentral
ACGUGGAAAGAAAUAUUCUAAAAAGUUCGAAAUGAUGAAUGAUAUUUUAGAUAAAUAUUUAAGUAUAUAUGGAAAUAUAUGUAUUUUGAUAUGAUAAAAGGUUUGUUGUGUAUUACUGCAUUAUCGUAUGAAGAAUUUUUUGUCUUCACUACGAUGAUUAGAAAAAUAUGUAACACGUAUCCAACAUAAUUAAACAAUUGGAAGCUUAUAAAAUAAUAUAAAAAUAAAUAAGAAGUGAUACAGAUAGAAACAACAUAUAUAAAUACUGCUAUCUUUUAAAAUACUUGCAGUACAAAAAUAUGCUGAAACACGAUAUAAUAAAAAAUACUUUACUCUUCGAUACAAAGGUAAAAAUAAAAGAAUGUAAUUUUGCGUUUAUGUACAUCACUUUUCACAGCUCAUUGUCCUUUUAUUUACACCAUCAAUCGUUUCUUUCACCCAAGCACCAAUUAUUCACAAUUAUUGUUACGAUAUUUAGGAAUAUCAAUGGAACUGCAACAAACAACAUUUCGUGCCACCGUUCGUAUGGACCUAAUAAGGUUCAAAAUUUGUGACUUUACUGUAGGAGGUUCUCCGAAGCCUUGAACAUUUUGCCACGACGCCCAACCAACUGUAACAAUGUUUAAACAAAAAUUAAGUAAUAUAUUCCAAUAUACAAGUAAAAACAUAUACAUAUGAUUUAUAUAUUUAUCAUACUACGCGAUAUAUGUAAAUACAAUAUAUAACAUAACCUACAAAUUCUUCAUUUCUAUGCAGGGGAAAAGUUCAGUAUAAAAGAAUAAUACAAACAAAAAUAUAAUGAUAUUGUGUACCUUUUGCAAGAAAUCUUUCUUCGUUUAAAACGCAGAUCGCAUUCAAACACAACAUAGUAGCUUCAAAAAGUGUCCAAAGUGUAAACGCCACAUUAUAUCGAUAUGAUGAAUGAUAACAUUGAGAAUAUCACGCAGCGCCACUAGCGUAAGGAAAGGUAAAACAGCUUCAACGCAUCAAACAAUCAAUUUGUAUUGAUUAGGAACCGUCCUGCCAUCUUCCGUGUUCAGCUGGAAACUAGCAAUUAAAAAAGUGGCGUUAUGCAGGAAAUUUGAAUUAAAAUUUAUUUUUACUGUGUCAAAAUAUAUUUAGAGUAAUCUCGAGCGAUUUAAAUAUCGCUCGAGAUUCCAAAAAUAAGAUAAUCUUGGAUUUCAUCGAUAACGUUUUACAAAUGCUUGCAAAAAUAGUACUAUAUGGAAACUAAGAGCCUUAAAACGAUAUUCGAAAGAAUCGGUAGACUUUACAAGUAACUUAACAACGCGAUAAUACAACGGAUGGUUGGGAGCAUUAU